CUGAUGUUGUACUUCCCCUUGAUCCGGAUCUCCUCGGCUUUGAGUUUCUCCUCCUCGCGCAUCUCGUGGUCCGACUCGAGGGCGUCGAAGACGGCGGCGCCCACCAGCAGAUGGGAACACGGCCCGGGGACACCGGACAGUUACCAUCUAGAAACCACUCCUGAGCCUCUGCCGGCUUCCGUCCAGCACCUCCUUCAACAGCUCCAGCUCCCUUCUGACCCCAAAGUCACAGCGCCUUGGAUAGCCACAGCCCAACCUCUCCAAAAACAAAACAAGACAAAAACCUUGGUUCUUCCUUUUCUCCCAAAAUAUGGCCUUUGGACUCAAAAGAAGCCCAGAGAGCCAGACUUCGGGGAGGGAUCCUGAGGGCUGGAGGAGGACACACACGGGCUCCCACACAGCCCUCUCUGCACCCCACAUCCCUCCCAUGGUCUUGACCUACAGGUGGACGCGAGCUCCGUGAAGCAGAACCUGGCUCUGGCGAGUCUUCCCAGCACUGUGUCCCCAGCGCUCUCCGCCGCACUCGCUCAGCUAGCAGUGUGGCUGGUACCACUGACAGGCCACAAAGAGGUUAGAGCAGUGACCAUGCCUCUGGGGAGCCCAAGCCUCUCGCUACUUCCACGGUUCUGGGAGCACCAGCUCCAGCCCAGACAGGAGUGGAUCUGGAGCUCCGCUGUGGCCAAUGAGAGCCCAGGAUUCCCCCUGACCCCACAGAUUGGCUGGGCGGGGCUCAGCUCCCAACCAAUGAGGAGCUCCCUGGGAAAGCAUCUCUAAGAGGAGCUAGAGCGAAGUAGGGGCCUGGAGGGGUGGGCAGGAAAGUAUCUCCGCACCCAAGAAAGAGAUGCCUGAUUUGGGGCAGCAAUGCAUUCUCUGUGCGGCUUAGGCCACUCAGGGCUGACCAGUGCCGCUGGCGUCCUGUCUGUGCUCCUCCAGUGGUCUGUCACUGGGCCUCCCUGGACCUCAGUGUCCUCUUUAGUAAAAACAGUUGUCUUUGAUCAGAUACCAAAGAACAUCAUGGCUCAUAACUCUCUUUCUCCUGCCUACUCGUUCGCUAGGUUCUCUACAUGCGUUGGGCAUAUUCUUAGCCUCUAGGGGCUGAGGAGUAUGACCCCAUCUUAUCCAGAGAAGCCAAGCAGUGUUUUCUGGCCCCACUUGGUGAGCUGGAGUGGAAUCGACUCUCAGCCCAGCCCUUCCGCAGCAGCACUCCGUGAAACCCAUCCUGCUGCUGGCGGAAGGCAGGGAGCUACAGUGUGCUGGCUGGGCUCCGGGGCUGGUGCCCGUGUGCCUCUGGGCAUACUCACCAGUGCUGGCCCAGGACUGACGGCCGAGGCUUCCAGAUCAUCACAUCUCUGUGGUGCUGCUCACGCCUUGACAUGUUAACGCCCCCAUCUUUGAAAAGAGGCAGAGGAGGCGGAAUCGUUGCCCCCAUUUUGCAGAUGAGAAAGGUGAGGCAGUAAGCCCCUUGGGCCCCAGUCACAAAUAGAGAGAAGAGAAAGCUGUGAUGGGAUCCUCCCCUUUCCCUGGGGGCCACUGCCAGCACUCUGGGUUCCUCCCUGCAGCCCUAGGUUUACCAGCCCUCACUGAUGGCUCAUGGGCCAUGUCUGCACUUGAAGCCCCCAGCAGGGGCUAAUGCCAGAGGGAAGCGCUCUGUAAGCAGCAGCCAGGUCCACCAGGAGCUUGCCAGACUCUUUGGGAUAUGAAUAAGCAUGUCCCCGGGGAAGUGUCUCUGGCCGCACUGGGGACGCUGGUUCAACAGGAAAAUUCAGGAUUUCUCAGAGCCCUCAGUCUGCCAGCAGGCACCGUGGGCCCAGACAGGAGUGCUGUGAACAGCAUUUCCCAGAUUGGUUGGAUCACGGAAUCUGCCUCUGGGCACAGAGCUGGCCUCAGAGCCAGGUCCCAAGCCACUCUUUGGGAACCACGACCCCAGCCCGGGUUGCUGGGCAGAGAGGGGUAGGAAGCCUGGAUCCCACUUCUGGACCCACACUGGCAACCCCUCCUCCAGCUCGGGUCCUGGCGGCCUGUAGCCCCUCUCUCCUCUGCCUGCAACUACCUCUGAGCACGCAGGCUCUUGCACUCCCCCGCUGAAAACCCUCCAGGAGCUCCUGGCCAAACCUCGGCCCACCCUCGGCGUCAGCACCCUCAGCCCCUGCCUCCAUCCCCCCUCCUGCGGGGCAGCCUUCAGCACAACGGUCCUCACAGCACCCAGCACCUCUGUGCCUUGUUCAUGCUGUUCCCUCUGCCUGCGUACCUUUCCCUGUCCUCUUCGGGCUCUCAUCUGCUCAUCUUUCAAGAUUCAGCUGCGGCAGCACGUCCUCCAGGAGCUUCCCCGGUCCCCAGGCUGGCCGAGGCUCCCGUGUCCCUGCACAUACUCCUGUCCCAUCUCCCCUGCCGGACUCAGCUCCUCGAGUGAGGGCUGUGCCUGCCUCGUCUUGGUCGAGCAGGGCCUGCCGCUUGGCAGGUAGCCAGCAGGUGCACCGCUUGAUGGCAAUGAAAGGGCAGGGUCAGGUUCACUCACCCGCAGGUCUGAGGUCAUCGCCCCACAUGAGGUCUCUCUUAGGAAAGCAGGAAGACGUAGAUGCACAGAACAGAGAGGGAAGCGUGCUGUGCAGAUGACAGAUGUGGCUGCCGGCCAGGAUCCUGUAGGUCCCCACACUUUAGGCCGUGACUCUGAUGUCACUGGGGGUCCAGUGCAGUGAGGGAAGAGGAGAAAGAGCAAGAAAGACGUAGAUGGAGAGGGAGAAGAUGCUACGGGAGAGGCUCAGGCAGAGGAAGGGGUGGGGACGGGGUCUGCGGGGGGGGGGGGGUGGUCAAGGGCCCCCAGGACUGGAACGAGUAGAUGGGCGACCUUCCCUGGGCCUCUGCCCAUGGCAGACAUUGCUAAUCGAUCCCAGCCCUGUCUUUGGCCGAGAGGAUCUUGAACACAGGCAUGUACACAGGGCUCAUCCUGGGCCCAGCACUGACCUGUUUCCCUUCAAGGCCGUCACCAGUCUGGCCUCCGCGGAGAUGACAAAGAAGAGCCUGCACACAACAUGAGAGGACAUAGGGAGCCAUGGUCGGUUCUUGAGCAGGAGAGUGGCGCCGUGAUAGUGGCGUACGGCCCUCUGCUGUGCUGAUCCUGGACGGCAAACCAGCCAGUCCUCCCAGACUCAGGGGCACGUGGCGGACAAAGGAAGCACUGGGAGGCAAAGCCAGGCUAAGGUGCCCGUCUUUCAAGCCGAGGACACCUCCAAAGCUCCAGGUGCGCGCGCACGCGCGCACACACACACACAUACACACACACUUUAUUAGAGGAUGGGUGGUUAGUGGACUUCAGGUGUCUUAAUGGGGCCCAUCCCCACGUGGGCCUGGCCCGCGAAGAGCUCCACCGCCUUCCCGAGGAGCCUAGGUGCUGCCAGGGUCAGUGCGGGAAUCCCGGAGUCUUCCCAGCCUGCAGCUGCCGCUUGGGGCCCCCGGGGCCGCCAGAACCUGGGCCCCCGGGGAGGGUCUCCCGAACAGGGUCCUCCGCGGCAGGGUGCCCCAGGCAGCUGGCUAUUCUAAACCCGGGCUCAGCAGAGCCCCCAGGGCAGCAGGAGGGCCCAGCGCCCCGCCUCCGCUGCCGGGUCCCUGGGACUUGGCAGGACAGAGGCUCCGGGUGUUUGCUGACUGGAUUAAUGAAAUGGAUUCGGGAACAACAACCCCACAUGGCCCGGAAAUGGCCCUGGCGACCUCUCUCUUGGGCAGUUUCCCACCACCCAGUGCCUGGAAUGAUCUGAUGUUCACAGGGAGGAGACGUGUGUGGAACCCAGCCCCCUGCCUCCUUAAAAUAAAUAACACAAUAAUAAUACUGAAUAAA
This is a long non-coding RNA of Mustela erminea (ermine), 3832 nucleotides long. RefSeq lists it as uncharacterized. Lineage: Eukaryota; Metazoa; Chordata; Mammalia; Carnivora; Mustelidae. The transcript is spliced from 3 exons. The record is from RefSeq and is a predicted model, not a curated record.